Molecule: ribosomal RNA, 392 nt
Filed under: uncultured bacterium
Lineage: Bacteria
Description: partial 16S ribosomal RNA
Rfam family: Bacterial small subunit ribosomal RNA
Source: RNAcentral
CUACGGAAGGUCCGGGCGUUAUCCGGAUUUAUUGGGUUUAAAGGGUGCGCAGGUGGCCAUUUAAGUCAGCGGUUAAAUCGUGGGGCUCAACCCCAUUCUGCCGUUGAUACUGGGUGGCUUGAUUGCGGUCGAGGUUGGCGGAAUUCGUUGUGUAGCGGUGAAAUGCAUAGAUAUGACGAAGAACACCGAUUGCGUAGGCAGCUGACCAGACCGCAAAUGACGCUCAUGCACGAAAGUGCGGGGAUCGAACAGGAUUAGAUUCCCUGGUAGUCCGCACAGUAAACGAUGAAUACUUGUUUUCGGCGAUAUAAUGUCGGAGGCAAAGCGAAAGCGAUAAGUAUUCCACCUGGGGAGUACGCCGGCAACGGUGAAACUCAAAUGAAUUGACGGGG